Molecule: long non-coding RNA, 954 nt
Filed under: Mytilus galloprovincialis (Mediterranean mussel)
Lineage: Eukaryota; Metazoa; Mollusca; Bivalvia; Mytilida; Mytilidae
Source: RNAcentral
CUGGAUUUUGACAUUAAAAUUGGUGUACAAAAUAUUUUCUGCUUUUUCUUUCUUUUACAUAUAUCUUUUGGUUUUCAAUUCUAGUGUUUAUAUUUAUUUACCAUGCAUAGAUGUAUUUUGUCACCUGUCUGGAUUUUUUUAGUUGAUAUACAAAACCCGGGAUUACCCUUAUCCGCUUCCGAAAUCGGAUCCGAUAUUGUAAUUGUCUUCUCGCGGCAGCCAUUUUGUUUUCAAUGUUGUUUUUGACAUAUAGUGAAAUACGAUUUUACUCGGAUUUACACAUAAUAUUUCGGCGAUUUUCUGCAUAAAGCUAGCGGUUGAGCAAAUUGAACAUCGCUGUCAUGAAUAGUAAUGAUGAAAAUAAGUUUGAGAUCGUUUAUUAGGACACUUUGGUAAAAAUAUUUGCAAAGUUAAUUUUUUAUUUUCUUUCAAGGUCCGUCGGGCAUGUCGGGCGUAGCUAGUAACCAAGUAGAAAGUCCGACUGCAAAAGUGGAAGGUCGCAGACCUCGGACCACCGCUAAUUUGAACCCCUGCCUUCAAAUUAAAAAGAUACGAAAAUUUUGUCUUCUAAUUCAAAAUUGCCGCCAACAGCGUGAUCAGUUGAACUUAUAUUAAUAGACUACUGACGUAGUUGACUACGUAUUGACGACAAACAAUAUUCCUACGACUUUUGCAAUUUGGGAAAUCUUAACUACUUGUCUUAAGAGAUUUUCGGCGGUUAAAUAUUUCAUACAUUUGUUCUUUGACAUCUUAGCCAAAAGCUCAGGGGAGAAUAAACUACAUAAGGAUUCCUAAUGUGCUCUACUUCCUAUGUGCAACUUCAAAACUUUUGGGAAAAUCGACGAUCAUUUAAGGUUUUUCUGGUCAUAUUUUUUGUAAUUCAGAAUGAAAAGUAUGAAAAAACUGUCCAAUAAGUUAUAAAUAAUAUAGUAGCCAGCUAGAUGAUAACAAUGG